CUCCUUGUUUUCCACUGGCUGCCCCACCUCCACAGGAAGCAGUUUGCUAGGCUGAAACAUCUGUAUUUUGGAGUUGCUUUACUCAAGAAAGGAGGGAAAAAAGAGCUCUGCCUUGAAUGAUGGAUCGCCACUGGUUCCCGCAUAUAAAUAAUUAGGCAUUUGAAUUGAUAUGGAUUUGACGUUUCAAACCUACUGUAGAUGAGCUGGUUGAGAAGCUAAGAUUUAAAGUCAACUUUAUCUACAGAAACAGAUUGUCUUUCUCUCGUGGCGGCAGGGUAGCCUAGUGGUUAGAGCUGUUGGACUAGUAACCGCAAGGUUGCAAGUUCAAAUCCCCGAGCUGACAAGGCUGUCAUUGAAAUGAAGAAUUUUUUCUUAAUUGACUUGCCUAGUUAAAUAAAGGUAAAAUAAUAAAAUAAAAACCAGUAGAAAGCUGAUUAUUCAGUCCUUGAUUAUGGGGAAAUCAUUUCAUUAAAGUGCUGCUACUCUUAAACCUUUUGGAUGCCAUCUACCAUAGUGCCCUUUUUUUGUUUCGUUACAGAUGGCAGUUUUUAAUAAUCAUCCCUGCAUCCUGUAUCAACAGGUUGGUUGGACUUCACUAAAGGCCCAUAGCUCUCUACAUUACUUCCUAUCUGUUUACAAGGGCCCUACUUUCUAAACUUCUGUCUGAUCUGACUGUGUUGUCGAAGUAUAGACACGUGAGUUGCCUAACCAGUUCACAGGAUGGCUUAACUCUUAAGGUUCCUAGGUUCUCCAACGAACUUGGUCCAAUCUCCUUUUGAAGCACUGUAAUUCUUAGGUUCUCCACCGAACUAGGUACAUCUCCUUUUAAAGCACCGUAAUUCCUAGGUUCUCCAACGAACUAGGUACAUCUCCUUUUGAAGCACCGUAAUUCCUAGGUUCUCCAACGAACUAGGUACAUCUCCUUUUGAAGCACCGUAAUUCCUAGGUUCUCCAACGAACUAGGUACAUCUCCUUUUGAAGCACCGUAAUUCCUAGGUUCUCCAACGAACUAGGUACAUCUCCUUUUGAAGCACCGUAAUUCCUAGGUUCUCCAACGAACUAGGUACAUCUCCUUUUGAAGCACCGUAAUUCCUAGGUUCUCCAACGAACUAGGUACAUCUCCUUUUGAAGCACCGUAAUUCCUAGGUUCUCCAACGAACUAGGUACAUCUCCUUUUGAAGCACCGUAAUUCCUAGGUUCUCCAACGAACUAGGUACAUCUCCUUUUGAAGCACCG
Oncorhynchus tshawytscha (Chinook salmon) is the source of this 1236-nucleotide long non-coding RNA. RefSeq lists it as uncharacterized. The record is from RefSeq and is a predicted model, not a curated record. NCBI's taxonomy places the organism in Eukaryota, Metazoa, Chordata, Actinopteri, Salmoniformes, Salmonidae. The transcript is spliced from 3 exons.